RNAcentral lists this ribosomal RNA (253 nucleotides) under uncultured bacterium. RNAcentral describes it as "partial 16S ribosomal RNA". It matches the Rfam family "Bacterial small subunit ribosomal RNA", at positions 524 to 776 of the family's 1533-position model. The record is from RNAcentral.
UACGUAGGGGGCAAGCGUUAUCCGGAAUUAUUGGGCGUAAAGAGCUCGUAGGCGGUCUGUCACGUCGGCUGUGAAAUCCCGAGGCUCAACCUCGGGUCUGCAGUCGAUACGGGCAAACUAGAGUAUUGCAGGGGAGACUGGAAUUCCUGGUGUAGCGGUGAAAUGCGCAGAUAUCAGGAGGAACACCGGUGGCGAAGGCGGGUCUCUGGGCAAUAACUGACGCUGAGGAGCGAAAGCGUGGGGAGCGAACAGG